RNAcentral lists this long non-coding RNA (622 nucleotides) under Carica papaya (papaya). RNAcentral describes it as "long non-coding RNA (CPAP_LNC007053)". The record is from RNAcentral. Lineage: Eukaryota; Viridiplantae; Streptophyta; Magnoliopsida; Brassicales; Caricaceae.
CAGCAACUCGGCCGGGUUUUGCCUAUAGUUUUCAGCUCUCUCAUCGUCCCUUUGGCUCCGAUAUGGCCAUACAAAACUUGAGAUCACAUUUCGAGCGAAAAUGAGAAAUUUUUACCUCUCUCGAUGGUCGGCGGUGACUCAGGUGCAGCGACAACAAUGUCCCUCUAGCAGCUGGUGUUCUCUCCAGCUGCCCUCCUUUUUUUUCUUCUCCGAUUAGAUGUCGACUAGGGUUUUGGGGCCGAUUAAAAAGAGGUUUAAAUACCUCUCUUCUUUUUUAUCAUGGUCGUUCAUCCGCGUCGACGUGAAGUAAGGAGAGGUGUCUGAUCGUUGCCUAUUUAGGCCAAUUGUGUGGGCAAUUCUAGGUCGUCCAUUGCGAUCAAUCUCAUAUAUUUGAUUGCGUCUGAAAAAGAAAUGCAUCUGGGCUGUUCGCGCGUGUGGAAUGCGAUUUGAGCCGUCGGAUCGCCCAGGCAUGCGAAUCACCCGCGUGGAGCCGAUGUCAGCUUGUCUGCCACGUGGUGUGUUUUGACUCGUCGUGGCUACUGACCGGGCCGUCCCACGUGGCGAAACUUUUUCUUUUUGUGAUUUUACCUCAUGUUUUUAAAUUUUCUUUCAAAAAUACACU